AAAUUGAAGAGUUUGAUCAUGGCUCAGAUUGAACGCUGGCGGCAGGCCUAACACAUGCAAGUCGAACGGUAACAGGAAGCAGCUUGCUGCUUUGCUGACGAGUGGCGGACGGGUGAGUAAUGUCUGGGAAACUGCCCGAUGGAGGGGGAUAACUACUGGAAACGGUAGCUAAUACCGCAUAACGUCGCAAGACCAAAGUGGGGGACCUUCGGGCCUCACACCAUCGGAUGUGCCCAGAUGGGAUUAGCUAGUAGGUGGGGUAAUGGCUCACC
This 272-nucleotide ribosomal RNA is filed under the name Salmonella enterica. RNAcentral's name for it is "partial 16S ribosomal RNA". It matches the Rfam family "Bacterial small subunit ribosomal RNA", at positions 1 to 269 of the family's 1533-position model. Lineage: Bacteria; Pseudomonadati; Pseudomonadota; Gammaproteobacteria; Enterobacterales; Enterobacteriaceae. The record is from RNAcentral.